RNAcentral lists this ribosomal RNA (773 nucleotides) under uncultured Neocallimastigales. Its description in RNAcentral is "partial large subunit ribosomal RNA". It matches the Rfam family "Eukaryotic large subunit ribosomal RNA", at positions 24 to 649 of the family's 3401-position model. The record is from RNAcentral. Lineage: Eukaryota; Fungi; Neocallimastigomycota; Neocallimastigomycetes; Neocallimastigales.
UAUGUGAUCGUCUCUCGCAUAUCAAUAAGCGGAGGAAAAGAAACUAACAAGGAUUCCCCUAGUAACGGCGAGUGAAGCGGGAAGAGCUCAAAUUUGAAAUCUUAAAGGGUUUCCCUUUACGAAUUGUAGUUUAAAGAAGUGUUUUCUGUUGAGGUUUUGGUAAAAGUUCUUUGGAAUAGGACAUCAUAGAGGGUGAGAAUCCCGUAUUUGACCUUUACUUUCAACUUUGUGAUACACUUUCAAAGAGUCGGAUUGUUUGGGAAUGCAGUCCAAAAUGGGUGGUAAAUUUCAUCUAAAGCUAAAUAUUGGCGAGAGACCGAUAGCGAACAAGUACCGUGAGGGAAAGAUGAAAAGAACUUUGAAAAGAGAGUUAAACAGUACGUGAAAUUGUCAAAAGGGAAGCGUUUGACACCAGUGUUGUUUUUCUGAAAAUCAAUUAAAGAACUGUUUAUGCUAAGCUGUUUAGACUUUAUCAGCUAACUGUUUAGUUUUGAGCUUUUCUUUAAUGCACUUUUCAGUUAACAAGUCAACAUCAAUUUCUUUUGCUGUAAAAAAGCUUGAGGAAGGUGGCUUGAGAUUCGUCUUAAGUGUUUAUAGCCUCUGCCUAUGCAGUCGGAGAGAUUGAGGUCUGCAGCGUAGAUCCUUCGGGGCUAAAUGCAUUUGUGCUAAGUUAUAGCAUUUUAUAGACAACUUGUUGACUAUGAUUUGUCUUGUAGCUUACUCGCUUAUGUUAUUUUACCUACGCUUAGGAUGUUGAGUAGCGACAUACGCAC